UCGAACUCAGACACUAUGGUUCGCGCCUCGUUCGCGCGCGCAUUGUGAGCAUUCAAGUUUCGUUUUUUGCACUUGCUUAGUAGCUGAAAUUGCGGACAUUGCAGGGUUGGGCUUGAUGACAUUUGUUGCUCAGCUGCCGCGACACAUUUGGAGCAAAGCUUCUGCUUAUUUCCUUUGGCCGCACCUUAUAUUUGUUGUCUUUGUCAACAUCUGACCUGUUUCUGCCUUGUUGAAAGCAAGUGGCCACAAGUACUGCUUAGUUUGCUCAGUCUAAACCUGGAAGUGCAUCCAGUUUAGCGCCGUGUACAUGUGUACGGACGCGUGCACGGACGUAACGCUGCUGCCCAUCGCGAGUCGUAAGCGAAAAAAAAAGGCCGACUGAAAAAAAACAACAAGAAAUAAGCUGCACGAUCAACAGAUUUUUGAAGAGACCGUUUCAACAGAGAUAUCUGAAGCAGAUCGUUAUUGGAUAUGAAGAAAUGUGCAGUGGAUAACAGCAAAACAUGUGGUAACCGACUGACUGACGGUAGUAAGGCUCACAGCCUAAGUUUUUCACUAUUUACACUGAUAAUGUAGCAUGUAUUUGCGCAAUUAAAUCACCUGCUAUGCGCAGCAACCGCACUCAAUUGAAGCCGCCAACGCAGCGAUGCACCAUUUGCUGUUUCAGGAUCACGAAAAACAAUGUAUUCACCGAAGUACAGCGGCGGUUGACCUGUCGGCAAGCUGUUAAUUCACAUAUGGCGAAAGCAAAUGUCACGGAGUCCAAGCCCACGAAACUGCGCUCGCAAGAAUAUCGCGCACGCUUGGGCCUUUCCGACAUGCACAAUAGCGCACGCAGAGCGUGGUGCAGCCGACACCCGACAUUCGUGACUGAUCUACGUUCGAGAGUAGCUAUUUCAAAAAGCAAACAAAAAAAAAAGAAACAAUGUGACGUCGCAUCCGGCAAAGGAGAGUUGUUCUACUUUCUCACCUUCUCUCAGCUCAGGCAUGCGCAGCGACCACGGAGCCCUCGGGGGGCGACGUUCAGGUUAUACGAACGUCCGUGAAAGCAUUGCUUUCGAGCAAACCUUUUCAAAUUAAGUUUUCGCUCAUGUCCACGAGAUAGCAAAUUUCAGGGUUACAUUAGCCGCUAUAUUUUCCAAUUUCAUGUCACCUAGCUACCUCAGGUUGCAUUUACGCGCCGAGGCUUUUAACAAAAAUAGUUGUCAGCUGAAGAUCAAAGCGGUGUGCCACUAUUUGGAUGUUGUGAUAUUUGUGAAAUUGAUUAUAUUUUUCCCCUAGUCAUGCUAAACUACUUACCGGUCACAUGCUUGGACUUCUGAAGGAGCACUUGAAAGGUUUUCCUUCCAACCCAGUAUUGUAACUGACGCCUGUCAGAGGUAUGAGAGUGGUAUUUGCCCUGCAGCACUGCCAUGAGUUCAAGAUCCAGAUGUGUCUCAUGUAAUAACUGUGCUCGCCGACUGUCUCUAUCUGUAUGUCACUAGAAAGUACAAAGGAUACAUUUCUGAAUUGUUGCAACAUUUAUUUUUCGUUAAAUGCUCAAAAUAUUUUUUUCUUUUCCUGAUCAAUAAGGACUUGCACAGAUUGCAGAUUUGCAUAGUUUGAAAAAAGUAUUGCAUAGUGGGCCUGUAGGUUUUUUUGAAUUUAUUGUUACCCUUCAGACUGGCCAAAUAUGUUGACAGCAACAGCGAAUACCUCCUUGCUGUAUUUGCAUUUCCUUGGAAUGUCUGUUCCGUGUUCUUCAUAACAGUACAUGGUGCCAUUUAGUUUUCUACCGUGUCGAAUUGUGCACUGACACUUUCAAGUGAGCAAGUGUAGGUUUGUAUUGCAACGGAAAUAACAACAUGAGUGCUUCUUCAAUUGCCUUCCAUCACCGCCUUGCUAGUGCCUUCUUCAAUGUGCAAGAAUGGCUUGUAACAAUAUUGUUAAGUGUUUCAUGUGAGGAUAUGGAAUACAAUAAUUUUCUCUUUUUCUCUGAACAUAUUCAGCCGGAAAAACAUGUUGACAGCUAUGCCUUUUUCAUGUUGGCCAUAGCAUUUUGUAGAUAAUGGUGUGACAGCUUGGGAAGUGUCUGAAGAGUAUUGUUAGUUGGUGCAUAAUCAUAUUGUUGCUACUGGGAGGAUCACAGGCACUUUUUUUUUCAUACUAUUAACAUGUUUCCAUUUUUCUUUUUGUGGCUCAAUCAAGUAGACCUGGUCACUUUUUUAGUUUGUCAUUUACUUUUGUUACACAUCAGUAUUAUAUACUAUCAAUUAAGUUGGGAUAUGAAGCCAUUUGAUGUUGCAUUCAUGGAGAAUCCUGGCCAAUCCCUCGUCAUGGGUGUGCCAUAUUUCAUAGGCAACACUCAUUAUAUAGUCUCUCUUCUUGUGGUAAGAGUGUAUCCCAAAGCCUGUUUUGGAUGCUUGCAGAGCAGUUGAGAUUUAGACAUCAAUGCCAGCUCACAAAGCACCUCAUACGGUAAUCAGCCAGCCGCCUCCGCAGAUGGGGAAUUCUGCAGUUUGCAAUCGUACUGUUUCGGUUGUCCUUGGCAGAGAUUUCAAUUGUACACAGUGGGAAUAUAUUGUAGGACCAUAUAAAAAUAAUGCGAUGACAAUGGCCAUGUGGCUUAAAUUAUAGUAGAUUACGACCAGCAUUAGCUCAAGCGCUGCUAAAGGUGUGUGGUAUGUAAAAAUUAAUAAAGUGCUGGUUUUAAAUUAAAGUGCAGCCUAGCAGGUUUCGAGAACUUUUACUCUGGCAGAAUGACAAAAUAAAAUUAUUUGAAAUCAGUGAUGCCACGCUGAUGAGGCUUGGGCAUGAAUAUCCUCUAGCCAAAUUCACAAGGAUCUUGAAUGAAUUCUUCACUAGGCUCAACAGUUUUGUUGUUUCCCUAUAUUGUUUCUAUAGGAACAGUGCACAACAAAAAUGUUGCGGCUUCCUGUUGUCUUAACACCCUAGAAUUGCCUUAGAUCCAUGGUUCUCAGCCAUGGAUGUGUCGGUGACCCCUUGUGGAUUGGUGGAAGUGAUGGGGACCACUUGCAAUGACGGGAGAGGGGGGUAUAAACUAACACAAUAUUAGGCGUGAAACAGGUGCCUUUUAUUGCUACUUUGCAAAGAAUGGUCAAACAAAAGUGCCACUUCAACUCAGUCUGGACAGCUUGUCAAUACAUGAUGCAGUCACGCUUAAGCAGAGUCACAUAUCUGCAGCCACAUUCAACCUGUUUCUGUAUUUGCUUUUCAAGUAUGCAAGCAUGGAAAAAGCAUGCUUGCAUGCAUAUGAUAUAAAACUGCAACAAAAGCUUUACAGCCAUCUUAUGUAGAAGGGAAAACAUUUCUGCAGUCCCCAACCAGAAUGCCUCAAGACUUGCAGUGGCCACAAAAAAAAAAAAAAGAAAAA
Molecule: long non-coding RNA, 3373 nt
Organism: Dermacentor silvarum
Lineage: Eukaryota; Metazoa; Arthropoda; Arachnida; Ixodida; Ixodidae
Exons: 3
Source: RefSeq, a predicted model, not a curated record